RNAcentral lists this ribosomal RNA (757 nucleotides) under uncultured prokaryote. RNAcentral's name for it is "bacterial SSU rRNA". It matches the Rfam family "Bacterial small subunit ribosomal RNA", at positions 28 to 803 of the family's 1533-position model. The record is from RNAcentral.
GAUGAACGCUGACAGAAUGCUUAACACAUGCAAGUCGAUUCGAUUUACCUUCGGGUAUUGAGGAUGGCGGACGGGUGAGUAACGCGUAAGGAACUUGCCUCUUGGUCUGGGACAACUGUUGGAAACGACAGCUAAUACCGGAUAUUAUGAGAUUCUCGCAUGGGAAACUUAUGAAAGCUAUAUGCGCCAAGAGAGAGCCUUGCGUUCCAUUAGCUAGUUGGUGGGGUAACGGCCCACCAAGGCGACGAUGGAUAGCCGGCCUGAGAGGGUGAACGGCCACAAGGGGACUGAGACACGGCCCUUACUCCUACGGGAGGCAGCAGUGGGGAAUAUUGGACAAUGGGCCACAAGCCUGAUCCAGCAAUUCUGUGUGCACGAUGAAGGUCUUCGGAUUGUAAAGUGCUUUCAGUUGGGAAGAAGAAAGUGACGGUACCAACAGAAGAAGCGACGGCUAAAUACGUGCCAGCAGCCGCGGUAAUACGUAUGUCGCAAGCGUUAUCCGGAUUUAUUGNGCGUAAAGCGCGUCUAGGCGGAAAAAUAAGUCUGAUGUUAAAAUGCGGGGCUUAACUCCGUAUUGCGUUGGAAACUGUUUUUCUAGAGUACUGGAGAGGUGGGCGGAACUACAAGUGUAGAGGUGAAAUUCGUAGAUAUUUGUAGGAAUGNNGAUGGAGAAGUCAGCUCACUGGNCAGAUACUGACGCUAAAGCGCGAAAGCGUGGGGAGCAAACAGGAUUAGAUACCCUGGUAGUCCACGCCNU